GACGAACGCUGGCGGCGUGCUUAACACAUGCAAGUCGAACGAAAAUACCAAGCUUGCUUGGUUGAUUAGUGGCGAACGGGUGAGUAACACGUGAGUAACCUGCCCCUUACUUUCCUGGAUAACUGCUCGAAAGGGUAGCUAAUACGGGAUAUUCUGACCAGCCUGCAUGGGUUGGUUUGGAAAGGUUGUUUUUCUGGUAAGGGAUGGGCUCGCGGCCUAUCAGCUUGUUGGUGGGGUGAUGGCCUACCAAGGCUUUGACGGGUAGCCGGCCUGAGAGGGUGGACGGUCACACUGGGACUGAGAUACGGCCCAGACUCCUACGGGAGGCAGCAGUGGGGAAUAUUGCACAAUGGGCGCAAGCCUGAUGCAGCGACGCCGCGUGAGGGAUGAAGGCCUUCGGGUUGUAAACCUCUUUCGUCAGGGAACAAGGCACUGCUUUUGUGGUGGUGUUGAGGGUACCUGGAUAAGAAGCGCCGGCUAACUACGUG
Molecule: ribosomal RNA, 488 nt
Filed under: uncultured bacterium
Lineage: Bacteria
Description: partial 16S ribosomal RNA
Rfam family: Bacterial small subunit ribosomal RNA
Source: RNAcentral